CUACGGAGGGUGCAAGCGUUAUUCGGAAUCACUGGGCGUAAAGGACGCGUAGGCGGGUUGGCAAGUCAGGUGUGAAAUCCUACAGCUUAACUGUAGAACUGCAUUUGAAACUGCUAACCUAGAGUAUGGGAGGGGGAGAUGGAAUUAGUGGUGUAGGGGUAAAAUCCGUAGAUAUCACUAGGAAUACCGAAAGCGAAGGCGAUCUCCUGGAACAUAACUGACGCUAAGGCGUGAAAGCGUGGGGAGCAAACAGGAUUAGAUACCCUAGUAGUCC
This 274-nucleotide ribosomal RNA is filed under the name uncultured bacterium. Its description in RNAcentral is "partial 16S ribosomal RNA". It matches the Rfam family "Bacterial small subunit ribosomal RNA", at positions 523 to 796 of the family's 1533-position model. The record is from RNAcentral.